This 254-nucleotide ribosomal RNA is filed under the name uncultured bacterium. RNAcentral's name for it is "partial 16S ribosomal RNA". It matches the Rfam family "Bacterial small subunit ribosomal RNA", at positions 79 to 334 of the family's 1533-position model. The record is from RNAcentral.
CUUUCUUUGCUGGCGACCGGCGCACGGGUGAGUGACACGUAUCCAACCUGCCCUUUACUCGGGGAUAGCCUUUCGAAAGAAAGAUUAAUACCCGAUAGCAUAAUGAUUCCGCAUGGUUUCAUUAUUAAAGGAUUCCGGUAAAGGAUGGGGAUGCGUUCCAUUAGGUUGUUGGUGGGGUAACGGCCCACCAAGCCUUCGAUGGAUAGGGGUUCUGAGAGGAAGGUCCCCCACAUUGGAACUGAGACACGGUCCAA